Molecule: ribosomal RNA, 497 nt
Filed under: uncultured bacterium
Lineage: Bacteria
Description: partial 16S ribosomal RNA
Rfam family: Bacterial small subunit ribosomal RNA
Source: RNAcentral
GAUGAACGCUGGCGGCGUGCCUAAUACAUGCAAGUCGAGCGAACGGACGAGAACUUUGCUUCUCUGAUGUUAGCGGCGGAAGGGUGAGUAACUUGUGGAUAACCUAACUAUACGACUGGGAUAAUUUCGGGAAACCGGAGCUAAUACCCGAUAAUAUUUUGAACCUCAUGGUUCAAAAGUGAAAGUAGGUCUUGCUGUCACUUAUAGAUUGAUCCGGCCUGCAUUAGCUAGUAGGUAAGGUGACGGCUUACCAAGGCAACGAUGCAUAGACGACCUGAGAGGGUGAUCGGCCACACUGGAACUGAGACACGGUCCCGACUCCUACAGGAAGCAACAGUAGGGAAUCUUCCGCAAGGGGCGAGAGCCGGACAGAGCAACACCGCGGAAAGGAUGAAGGUCUUCGGAUCGUAAAGCUCUGUUAGUAGGAAAGAACAUAUGUGUAAGUAACUGUGCACAUCAUGACGGUACCGAAACAAAAAGCCACGGCUAACUACGUG